This is a long non-coding RNA of Rhinichthys klamathensis goyatoka, 257 nucleotides long. RefSeq lists it as uncharacterized. The transcript is spliced from 3 exons. NCBI's taxonomy places the organism in Eukaryota, Metazoa, Chordata, Actinopteri, Cypriniformes, Leuciscidae. The record is from RefSeq and is a predicted model, not a curated record.
UCAGGCUCUUGGGUGUUGCUACUUCCUCCAUGAAUCCUUGAAAAACAUCCAACAGUUUGAUUUCAAAGCCAAGAAGUUCAAGAAGGUGUUCGGGAAGGAGAUCCACUGUGACGCUCUGAGCUCAGCCUCACUGGAAAAGGAGAAGUUUCCUCAGGACUAUUUCCCGGAGUGCAAGUGGUCCAGAAAAGGCUUCAUCAGAACCCGGUGGAUCUGGGGGACUGGUGAGUCCUAGACCCCCGAAACCAGAUCGAGAGAGA